UUAUCAGUGAACUAUCUAGACGCGGAGGGAAUUCCUGACAAUGAACUUGAAGAUGUCACAGUAACCACCAAAGGUACACUCUUCAUAUCCGAGAAUCAUGAAGGAGGUCGCGGGAUUGUAGGCAGUGUGCCAUGGAAGGAUUUCUUGAGCACAGUGAAGCGGUUGUAUAUCUUUGCUCGCCCAUGAAGCUAGAGCACCAGUGGUGGGAACUUGGAACAGAAAGGAAGACUCGUCGAUGAGUUGAAUAACAACGGAUUCGUUCGAACGGAACUAUGCCUGAUAUGGUGG
Molecule: long non-coding RNA, 288 nt
Organism: Papaver somniferum (opium poppy)
Lineage: Eukaryota; Viridiplantae; Streptophyta; Magnoliopsida; Ranunculales; Papaveraceae
Exons: 3
Source: RefSeq, a predicted model, not a curated record